GGGGAAUAUUGGACAAUGGGCGAAAGCCUGAUCCAGCCAUGCCGCGUGUGUGAAGAAGGUCUUCGGAUUGUAAAGCACUUUAAGUUGGGAGGAAGGGCAGUAAAUUAAUACUUUGCUGUUUUGACGUUACCGACAGAAUAAGCACCGGCUAACUCUGUGCCAGCAGCCGCGGUAAUACAGAGGGUGCAAGCGUUAAUCGGAAUUACUGGGCGUAAAGCGCGCGUAGGUGGUUUGUUAAGUUGGAUGUGAAAGCCCCGGGCUCAACCUGGGAACUGCAUCCAAAACUGGCAAGCUAGAGUACGGUAGAGGGUGGUGGAAUUUCCUGUGUAGCGGUGAAAUGCGUAGAUAUAGGAAGGAACACCAGUGGCGAAGGCGACCACCUGGACUGAUACUGACACUGAGGUGCGAAAGCGUGGGGAGCAAAC
Molecule: ribosomal RNA, 425 nt
Filed under: uncultured bacterium
Lineage: Bacteria
Description: bacterial SSU rRNA
Rfam family: Bacterial small subunit ribosomal RNA
Source: RNAcentral